This 239-nucleotide ribosomal RNA is filed under the name uncultured bacterium. RNAcentral's name for it is "partial 16S ribosomal RNA". It matches the Rfam family "Bacterial small subunit ribosomal RNA", at positions 107 to 334 of the family's 1533-position model. The record is from RNAcentral.
UGAGUAACGCGUGGAUAAUCUACCCUUAAGAUGGGGAUAACGGCUGGAAACGGUCGCUAAUACCGAAUACGCUCCCGAUUUUAUCAUUGGGGGGAAAGAUGGCCUCUGCUUGCAAGCUAUCGCUUAAGGAUGAGUCCGCGUCCCAUUAGCUAGUUGGCGGGGUAACGGCCCACCAAGGCAACGAUGGGUAGCCGGUCUGAGAGGAUGACCGGCCACACUGGAACUGGAACACGGUCCAG